GUUGUUAUUAAAAGAGAAGAUUAACAUAGCCUCUGCACAAGGAUAACACGCAAAUUUGUGAAGCAUUCCACAUUUAG
Molecule: small nuclear RNA, 77 nt
Filed under: Erinaceus europaeus (western European hedgehog)
Lineage: Eukaryota; Metazoa; Chordata; Mammalia; Eulipotyphla; Erinaceidae
Source: RNAcentral